This 466-nucleotide ribosomal RNA is filed under the name uncultured bacterium. Its description in RNAcentral is "partial 16S ribosomal RNA". It matches the Rfam family "Bacterial small subunit ribosomal RNA", at positions 28 to 507 of the family's 1533-position model. The record is from RNAcentral.
GACGAACGCUGGCGGCGCGCCUAACACAUGCAAGUCGAACGAGCGAGAGAGAGCUUGCUUUCUCGAGCGAGUGGCGAACGGGUGAGUAACGCGUGAGGAACCUGCCUCAAAGAGGGGGACAACAGUUGGAAACGACUGCUAAUACCACAUAAGCCCACGGUGCCGCAUGGCACAGAGGGAAAAGGAGCAAUCCGCUUUGAGAUGGCCUCGCGUCCGAUUAGCUAGUUGGUGAGGUAAUGGCCCACCAAGGCGACGAUCGGUAGCCGGACUGAGAGGUUGAACGGCCACAGUGGGACUGAGACACGGCCCAGACUCCUACGGGAGGCAGCAGUGGGGAAUAUUGCACAAUGGGGGAAACCCUGAUGCAGCGACGCCGCGUGGAGGAAGAAGGUCUUCGGAUUGUAAACUCCUGUUGUUGGGGAAGAUAAUGACGGUACCCAACAAGGAAGUGACGGCUAACUACGUG